This 161-nucleotide small RNA is filed under the name Chelonoidis abingdonii (Abingdon island giant tortoise). Its description in RNAcentral is "TUC338 (ENSCABG00000010067.1)". Lineage: Eukaryota; Metazoa; Chordata; Testudines; Testudinidae. The record is from RNAcentral.
UUAUCAGCACUAGAGACUGAAUCUCCUUGUUUAUCUACAGAACAGAUAUAGCACAGAUAGAAGCAUUGCCAUUCUCCUCCACACAGCUUGUCAAUGGGUUUCAACAGUGUCCUGGACAAAAGGAUAGUUCAGUCUUCAUGCCAGUACACUCCUUGGGCUCU